CCUACGGGAGGCAGCAGUAGGGAAUAUUGGUCAAUGGAUGCAAGUCUGAACCAGCCAUGCCGCGUGCAGGAAGAAGGCGUUAUGCGUUGUAAACUGCUUUUGCCAGGGGAUAAAAUAACUGUGCGCAGUUAAUUGAAGGUACCUGGUGAAUAAGCCACGGCCAACUACGUGCCAGCAGCCGCGGUAAUACGUAGGUGGCAAGCGUUGUCCGGAUUUAUUGGGUUUAAAGGGUGCGUAGGUGGCCCUGUAAGUCAGUGGUGAAAUAUCUCAGCUUAACUGAGAGGGUGCCAUUGAUACUGCAGGGCUUGAGUACAGAUGAGGUAGGCGGAAUUGACGGUGUAGCGGUGAAAUGCAUAGAUAUCGUCAAGAACACCGAUAGCGAAGGCAGCUUACCAAGCUGUAACUGACACUGAGGCACGAAAGUGUGGGGAUCAAACAGGAUUAGAUACCCUGGUAGUCCACACUGUAAACGUUGAUGACUCGAUGUUGGCGAUACACAGCCAGCGUCCAAGAGCAAUCGUUAAGUCAUCCACCUGGGGAGUACGCCGGCAACGGUGAAACUCAAAGGAAUUGACGG
This 577-nucleotide ribosomal RNA is filed under the name uncultured bacterium. Its description in RNAcentral is "bacterial SSU rRNA". It matches the Rfam family "Bacterial small subunit ribosomal RNA", at positions 338 to 916 of the family's 1533-position model. The record is from RNAcentral.